RNAcentral lists this long non-coding RNA (414 nucleotides) under Lonchura striata (white-rumped munia). RNAcentral describes it as "domestica (Bengalese finch) lncRNA (ENSLSDG00000018154.1)". The record is from RNAcentral. Lineage: Eukaryota; Metazoa; Chordata; Aves; Passeriformes; Estrildidae.
CCGGGGUGCCGCGGGCUGCGAGCGGGCCUGCGGAGCCGGGGGAAUGCAGGCUCGCUGUGCCCUGGGCAGCACGGGGAGGCUCUCCCUGGCUGGGUGCUGUGAGAGCUGCGGCGUUGAUGGGUUGGGAAGUGUAUGAGGGAAUUUUCAGGUGUUGCAAGAGCUUUGUUUGUCCAUCAUUGGGCUCUCGACCCCACUCUGUCCCCAAGUUGUCUUCUUCCUGAGACCCGCAGUCUCUGCAGUACUCCACUUGUUCUAGACCAGACUUCCAGCUCGGAAGAGAUGGAUUGCCUUUGCAGCUCUUUUCUAAGCUGUCCUUUCGUCUUGCUGGUUUAUGGUGCCAAGUAAACUCCUGUAGCACUGGUGGAAAGUAAGUUCAAGCAGCAUCUUUAAUUAAGUAUUUGCAUAUGGAUAAUC